GGUAAGAUGGCUGAGUGUUCUAAGCGGUGGGCUGUAGUCCCAUAAACAGAGGUUCAAUUCCUUUUCUUAUCA
This 72-nucleotide transfer RNA is filed under the name Heteroconger hassi (spotted garden-eel). Its description in RNAcentral is "tRNA-Tyr". It matches the Rfam family "tRNA". From Rfam's summary of the family: Transfer RNA (tRNA) molecules are approximately 80 nucleotides in length. Lineage: Eukaryota; Metazoa; Chordata; Actinopteri; Anguilliformes; Congridae. The record is from RNAcentral.